Long non-coding RNA from Frankliniella occidentalis (western flower thrips), 1059 nucleotides. RefSeq lists it as uncharacterized. The transcript has 4 exons. The record is from RefSeq and is a predicted model, not a curated record. Lineage: Eukaryota; Metazoa; Arthropoda; Insecta; Thysanoptera; Thripidae.
UAUUAAUUGUAUUUUAAUGUCUUCUUUGUUUUGGUUUAGAUCUAACCAGAACCGAGUCGGCAGCAUCUUCUUGUAACAUUGACUCUCACGGUCAUAACCUAUACAUGUGUUGAUGUCUUUGUUUACAUUCGCCAUCUGAAAAAAUAUGCAAUUGAUGGUUUCACAAUCUAACGUCUCCGGCUCACACUUAUCACCCUGGUUCGAUCUUGCUACUGGUGCGAGAAUUUGAUGUUAUCUUCAAUUGCAACAUCAAACUUUGGAAUAUAUUUGCCAUCGCCGAUCACUGCGGGGCAGGCUGACUUAAGUUAACUUAUGGUGCAACAAGUUGGACUACAAGUUUGAGUAAAUGGUUAUAAUGUCUUGACAAAAUUGUUUGAGGCAAUAGACAUGAAGAGGUUUACUAAUGAUUCACCAAGAAUUCUCUCAUCACAGUCUGGUUUUAUUUUUGUGGCUUUUGUACAAGGAAGUUCUGAAUAAAGCAGGCUAAAACAAUUCUAUCAUUUUGUUGUUUUAUUGGAUCGAAAAGUGCAAUCUCAUUCACUAAUACUUUUACAAAAAUACUUCACUGGCAACUAAAAAAUAUAACUGCAGUAGAAUUGCGGUCAAUACUGCUGCAUAUCUCCAACACUUAGCAUAGACGAAGGCUAGAAAAAGAAGUGGUCAAAGUGCAAUAUUUACUGUCAUCACGACCAUAGAAUGUGAUUGCAGUAAAAGUGUGAUUGAGAGAGUUAGUUAACUGUAUUAAAACUGUAGUAAAAGUGUGGAAGAAGUGGGUUUCAACUGGCCAAGCUAAAACAUGAUCCGUGGCUAACUGUUGGAAAACUACAGUUUGAUCGAAAUAACUGGUACUUUUUCUACAGUUAAACUGUAGUUUUCUACAAUAAAAGUACUCUUUAAGUUUAAUUUUGUAUACUUAAACUGAUGUUUCAGUGCACAAAGACUAACAUUUAAACUCACUUAUAACUAAUUCCAACUUACUCCUAACUUCACUUUAAGUCAGAUUAAAGAGGAGAAAGAACUUAGAUAUCUCAUGCAGUUAAAAGUGGAGAUCCUUCCAGC